AGAGUUUGAUCCUGGCUCAGAAUCAACGCUGGCGGCGUGCCUAACACAUGCAAGUCGAACGAGAAAGUGGUAGCAAUACCAUGAGUAAAGUGGCGCACGGGUGAGUAAUAUAUCGGAACGUACCUUUGAGUGGGGGAUAACUAGUCGAAAGAUUAGCUAAUACCGCAUACGAUCUACGGAUGAAGGUGGGGGAUCGCAAGACCUCAUGCUCAUAGAGCGGCCGAUAUCUGAUUAGCUAGUUGGUGAGGUAAAGGCUCACCAAGGCUUCGAUCAGUAGCUGGUCUGAGAGGACGACCAGCCACACUGGGACUGAGACACGGCCCAGGACUCCUACGGGAGGCAGCAGUGGGGAAUUUUGGACAAUGGGGGCAACCCUGAUCCAGCAAUGCCGCGUGAGUGAAGAAGGCCUUCGGGUUGUAAAGCUCUUUUGUCAGGGA
This 437-nucleotide ribosomal RNA is filed under the name uncultured bacterium. RNAcentral's name for it is "bacterial SSU rRNA". It matches the Rfam family "Bacterial small subunit ribosomal RNA", at positions 8 to 445 of the family's 1533-position model. The record is from RNAcentral.